CACGGAGUUAGCCGAUCCUUAUUCUUACGGUACCGUCAGGCUCCUACGCGUAGGAGUGUUUCUUCCCGUACAAAAGCAGUUUACAAUCCAUAGGACCGUCAUCCUGCACGCGGCAUGGCUGGUUCAGGCUUGCGCCCAUUGACCAAUAUUCCUCACUGCUGCCUCCCGUAGGAGUCUGGUCCGUGUCUCAGUACCAGUGUGGGGGAUCUCCCUCUCAGGACCCCUACCCAUCGUUGACUUGGUAAGCCGUUACCUUACCAACUAGCUAAUGGGACGCAUGCUCAUCUUCCACCGUUGUGACUUUAAUCAUAUCCCGAUGCCGGAACAUGAUGCUAUGAGGUAUUAAUCCAAAUUUCUCUGGGCUAUCCCUCUGUGGAAGGCAGAUUGCAUACGCGUUACGCACCCGUGCGCCGGUCUCAAAUUCCGAAGAACCCUACCCCUCGACUUGCAUGUGUUAAGCCUGCCGCUAGCGUUCAUCCUGAGCCAGGAUCAAACU
This 496-nucleotide ribosomal RNA is filed under the name uncultured Flavobacterium sp. Its description in RNAcentral is "partial 16S ribosomal RNA". The record is from RNAcentral. Lineage: Bacteria; Pseudomonadati; Bacteroidota; Flavobacteriia; Flavobacteriales; Flavobacteriaceae.